Eriocheir sinensis (Chinese mitten crab) is the source of this 2252-nucleotide long non-coding RNA. RefSeq lists it as uncharacterized. The record is from RefSeq and is a predicted model, not a curated record. NCBI's taxonomy places the organism in Eukaryota, Metazoa, Arthropoda, Malacostraca, Decapoda, Varunidae. The transcript has 4 exons.
UUCCUCUCAUAUGUUACCUUUACCUUACAUAUGAGAGGAAGAGAUAGGUGUUGGGACUGUGUGGCAGAGCAGAGGGGAGGAAAGGACCCGCGGGAGCCUACGCCCAGACAGACUUGACAGUUUGGUUUCACUGUAGUGUUGUCUCCAGUGUUGAAAGAUUUGAAUUUGUUUCAGGAUAGCCGGCGUGUGGGAUGGGUGGAAGGUCCAACAUUGCCUCUCUCGUGUUCAAGCCGCCUGGCGCUCCCAUCUCAUCACUGGAUGGAGCUUGUUGCGGCAUACAUUUUCAAUCGCAGACUGUGCAGGGAAAGGAGAUAUCGGGACCCACUCGACCCACUACAUGUCAGUGAUGAACACUUGUUGCAGGUGUAUAGAUUUCCCCGUCAGGAAAUCAUCAGGCUCUGUGAUGAGUUUCGCCCCCACCUGGAAAGGAGAACCAGGAGGGCACAUGCACUCCCAACACACACCUAGGUUCUGGCUACACUAAGGAGACACUGCGUAUCCUCUGGAGCCAUUCCUGAUGACCCCAGUUGCACGGCCGACAACACCUGGGGAGGAGCGCUACAACAAGUCAUCACAGGACAAGAUGCGUUGUCGAACGGACCUUUGGGAUCCUCAAGUCAAGGUGCAGGUGCCUACAUAAGUCAGGAGGAAGUUUGCAGUAUGACCCCAAGAAGACUAUGAAGAUUGCGACUUCUUGUAUGCUCCUGCACAACUACUGAGUGGAUCGCUGCAGAAGAAGUAACAGUUCAGCCUGUGAGAAACAACAGACUGAUUCCUGGUCAAGUUGUCAGGCAGGAAUUUAUUAGAAACUUCUUUUCCUGAGUAUAGAUUGCAUAUGGUGCACCGGUGGCCGAGUGGUCAGCGUGUGUACGUGGUGAUCCAGAGGACUCGACUCCCACCGCAAGACGCUGAGAGUUUUCAACCAUUGACAAGUGGCGGAGGGUUACCAACAUGCUGCCCAGCAGAUCUUCAGUCAACCCUAACUUCAGCAUCUUUGAUCAAGAGGGGCACCACCUCCACACCACUCAUUCUUAUCACCUAGUUUGAUACCCUACUUGUCCAUCUCACAUGCCCCAUGUAUCUCAGCAUUCUGCACUCUUGGCUCCAUGUCAUCCUCUCCAACUUGUUGGUUCGUAUAGCAUAACCGGCCUCACAUACAUAGAAGUGUUCAAUAUACCUAGGCUAUAAUAUUAUAUUUAAGGACUCUUAUACGAGGUAUCGCCCCAUACAGAGAUGUCGAAGUAAGUCUGUCUGAUGGUAGGCUGGCUGACUGCUGUCGGGACCCAAGCCAGCAUGCCCUGGGGGUUGUGUGCGGGAGGAGGAAAGAGGGAAAAGGACAAAUGGUGUGUGUGUCAUUAUCAGGGGUAACCACGGUGGAGUGCAAACACUCAGUAGUUGUAGUCAAGGCUUAAUUAAGUUGAUGAGUGGUGUUAGACUGAAUGAGCAGGUUUUUUACCACAUGUUAGUGGGAACACUUGAUAGGUUUUGUUUGUGUGUUGGUGCUACUUGUUUCUUGUGUUUACAUGUUAGUUUAUAAUUAGACUGAGUUCUAAGUGUUAUGAGCGACAAUUUAGUCUUGUAUGGCUGAAUCCUGUCCCUUGACCCUUAAUUCAUCAUCAGAAUCUUUAAACAAAUAUAUUUACCUUAAGUAAUAUUCUUAAAGUCACGCUGCCCAUAUUAUUUGGCAGAUGAUAACCCUGUAUGUGAUAAUGGUGCCUUAUAAGACUUGGUAAAUAAACUACUAAUUUUACUCUCUGGUUUAAGUGAUCAACAAUUAAUUCUACUUUGAGGUAUAAUUAACCAACAUUAUUAAGGAGUGCCCAUGCCAGGCACGACAUUAAGAAUAUUUUUCUGUUGACCAGCAGACUUACUAUAGUCAAACCAUUUCAAAAUGUCUGUUGAGGCAGUGGCUUCUGCAGGUCCUUUCCUCCCUUCUGCUUUGCCACACAGUUCCAAUUACCUAUUUCCUCUGUUUCCUGUCCCCUCUUUCACAAACUGGGCACCUAUAAUGCACCCCUACUUGAUUUACAUUUCUCAGCCCUGAGCAUCUCUUUGUGGCACCACUUAACACUCCCUGUGCACAGGGCAUAGUUUGUAGCCAUUUCUCUUCCACACCAACUACCUUCCUGUAUAUAUGAUUUCUCAGUAAUUACUUAUUUGUUGUGCUGUAUUAGCUGUUACGUGCUACAUCAAGCUGUAAUAUCUACCCAAGCUGCGGGUUAAUCCAAUAAAAAAAAAAAGUGAAUGACUAA